GGGGAUUAGCAUAUCAAUAAGCGGAGGAAAAGAAACCAACUGGGAUUGCCUUAGUAACGGCGAGUGAAGCGGCAAUAGCUCAAAUUUGAAAGCUGGCGUCUUUGGCGUCCGCGUUGUAAUUUGUAGAGGAUGCUUCGGCGAGGGCUCCGGUCUAAGUUCCCUGGAACGGGACGUCAUAGAGGGUGAGAAUCCCGUAUGUGAUCGGUUGCCUAAGCCAUGUGAAGCUCCUUCGACGAGUCGAGUUGUUUGGGAAUGCAGCUCUAAAUGGGAGGUAAAUUUCUUCUAAAGCUAAAUACCGGCCAGAGACCGAUAGCGCACAAGUAGAGUGAUCGAAAGAUGAAAAGCACUUUGGAAAGAGAGUUAAAAAGUACGUGAAAUUGUUGAAAGGGAAGCGCUUGCAACCAGACUCGUCCGCAGUUGCUCAGCCGGUCUCUUGACCGGCGUACUCUUCUGCGGCCGGGCCAGCAUCAGUUCGGGCGGCCGGAUAAAGGCCUCGGGAAUGUAGCACCCUUCGGGGUGUGUUAUAGCCCGGGGUGGAAUGCGGCCAGCCUGGACUGAGGAUCUCGCUUCGGCUAGGAUGCUGGCGUAAUGGUUGUAAGCGGCCCGUCUUGAAACACGGACCAAGGAGUCUAACAUCUAUGCGAGUGUUUGGGUGUCAAACCCAUGCGCGUAAUGAAAGUGAACGGAGGUGGGAACCCUCACGGGUGCACCAUCGACCGAUCCUGAUGUCUUCGGAUGGAUUUGAGUAUGAGCAUAGCUGUUGGGACCCGAAAGAUGGUGAACUAUGCCUGAAUAGGGUGAAGCCAGAGGAAACUCUGGUGGAGGCUCGCAGCGGUUCUGACGUGCAAAUCGAUCGUCAAAUUUGGGUAUAGGGGCGAAAGACUAAUCG
This 889-nucleotide ribosomal RNA is filed under the name Pseudofusicoccum adansoniae. RNAcentral describes it as "partial large subunit ribosomal RNA". It matches the Rfam family "Eukaryotic large subunit ribosomal RNA", at positions 30 to 937 of the family's 3401-position model. The record is from RNAcentral. Lineage: Eukaryota; Fungi; Ascomycota; Dothideomycetes; Botryosphaeriales; Botryosphaeriaceae.